Molecule: ribosomal RNA, 498 nt
Filed under: uncultured bacterium
Lineage: Bacteria
Description: partial 16S ribosomal RNA
Rfam family: Bacterial small subunit ribosomal RNA
Source: RNAcentral
ACUCAAAUGAAUUGACGGGGGCCCGCACAAGCGGAGGAACAUGUGGUUUAAUUCGAUGAUACGCGAGGAACCUUACCUGGGCUUGAAAGGGGAUUGACCUCCCGGGAAACCGGGAUUCUCUUCGGAGCAAUCUCCUAGGUGCUGCAUGGUUGUCGUCAGCUCGUGCCGUGAGGUGUCGGGUUAAGUCCCAUAACGAGCGCAACCCCUAUUGUUAGUUGCCAGCGGGUAAUGCCGGGAACUCUAACGAAACUGCCGGUGUAAACCGAGAGGAAGGUGGGGAUGACGUCAAAUCAGCACGGCCCUUAUGUCCAGGGCUACACACGUGUUACAAUGGCCGGUACAAAGGGCAGCUACUUGGUGACAAGAUGCUAAUCUCGAAAACCGGUCUCAGUUCGGAUCGAAGUCUGCAACUCGACUUCGUGAAGCUGGAUUCGCUAGUAAUCGCGCAUCAGCAAUGGCGCGGUGAAUACGUUCCCGGGCCUUGUACACACCGCCCGU